UCCUCCUACGAAGGCGUGUCUGUGGUUCCCUGUCUUUGGACACGUAAGAAUUGGAGGCACAGAAGUGUGGACUGGGGAGGUCUGGGGCCAGCUUGCUCCCUGCAGGCUCAAGAUCAACCAUCCCACAUAG
This is a small nucleolar RNA of Phyllostomus discolor (pale spear-nosed bat), 130 nucleotides long. RefSeq annotates it as small nucleolar RNA SNORA38. NCBI's taxonomy places the organism in Eukaryota, Metazoa, Chordata, Mammalia, Chiroptera, Phyllostomidae. The record is from RefSeq and is a predicted model, not a curated record. The transcript has a single exon.